UUAUUCUCCCCCCUACUGUCCUCGUGAUGUACCUUUUUCUGUUCUACAUGUGUCUGCCCUCCUUCGCGCUUGAUUUCAGUUCGUCGUGAUUGUCACCGGUCAUGGACGUUCAUGGCUGGGGGUGGUUCAGUUCGCUGGGUUUGGCAGGAAAGUUUGUCAUAGCUUAGUGCAAUCCUGGCGAGUUUUUUGAGUGGUUCAUCGAGAAAGGUUCUUGAAUUUGUUGCAGACACCUCUCAGCACGUUUUCCCCAAAUUUCCGUCACCAAGUCUGCCUCAACAUUAUCUUGGAUGUAGAUCUCCUUUUGUCUUGGAUGUAGAUUUCUUUUUUUAGUCUGAGUUAAUUGUCACUACAGUAUGUUUAUUGUAAGAAUUUAGAGGCCCGAGGAAUGUUGCAAAUGAUCAGGGUUAGUUAACUGAAUGAUUGGUUUUUCCUCUGUAGGGGUACUAUUGUGAAGAAACUAUUGAGUAUCAUUUGUCAGCUUGAUUUUGGUGGCUUAUUUUAGAUUAGUUAUGGAUGUUUUUUUUUUGCUUAGAGUUGAGCGCUUACCUGAAGAAUGUUUUGUGGAUCAUCUGAAAGUAAUGAUAUGCAAUAAUUAACAAGCCAGUAGAUGGCCUGAAUCUAUUUAUAUGCAAUGAAAUUUGUUCCAGAUAACCCUCUGUUAUUCUGCACUUUCCUUUUUUGAGGGUUUCUUACCACCAACUAUGCUAUAUAUGUCGCACGCCUGCCUAAACUGACUGCCUCUGGCUGCAAGCGAGUGAUCACUGAUAUACCCAUAUGUGAACUCAGAGGGGAUGUAGUCCUAAAUUGAAUUAAAUUUAGUUUUUUUUUACAGAUUUUUUUAAAUGUAGUUCAUGUUAUGGUGUUUUCCUCUCUGCGUUCUGUUUGAUGUAGCAUGGAGGAAGGAAUAUUUUUGAAUCUUUUUUUCUUAGUAAGUACUUUUUGCAUCCUGAAAAACACGUGUAUAAUCUAUGUGUUUAUAAAAGCCAGAGGCGGCAUGUAACUCACAACUCAUGUUUUUUGUAGUCAUUUUUCUAAGCCAUGUGUGAUGCUAUCUAGUUUUUGGUACUUGAUUAUUUUAGUUUUCAUGCAUGUCCUCUAGAUUAUUCAGGUUCAGUAAAUCUUUUUUCAUUCUGGAUAUGGUUUAGUGUCGCUAUGUUUUGCAUUCAGGGUCAAUCAAACAUUAAAAAAUUAGAGCCCUGUGAUCUAGUUUCUCUGAAUUUUGUUUUUGUCCCUGCACAUACCUGAAGACUCGACAUGUACCACAAGACGGGCCGCCUCCAUGGAUCUCCUUGACAGUCAUCAAACGACAUAUCAUCCAUUUUUUUGCCCAACUCAAAAGUUGUUGUUUCUGCAUCUCUAGGUCCUCCAUUUGCACAGGUGAAUUGUGUUGGUUGUCAACAAAGCCAUACAUGUUGCCUAAAUCUUGAAAAAAAGGAACAUUGGAACCUAUCAGAUAUCCUUCUUUUCAUCAUUUCAUCGUCUGUUUAAGUUUGACAUUUUUUCUCUUUCCCCGUUUGUUUUUAAUUUGUUACCACCCCCACCUCAAGUCUUGGUGUGUUGUUCAACGUGUAGUCAUUUUCUAACACUUGAGCUGCCCCUGUUUUGCUGUAAAUGUACAGAGGUUCACCCCGAUCACUUGUUGGACCAAUGUCAGUUCCAUACGAGCAUGUCUCUUGCCCCUGCACAUGAGUUUGUACAAAGUUCAUCUCUUUUUAGCUUUAUCUUUUUUUAUCUUUUUUUUUUGGUUUUGUUUUAUGUGCCGCACCUGGGUAUUGAUUCUCUGAGAGCCUCCAUUCAGGUCAAUGUAUCCCUUCAACAGUGUCACAUAAGAGAAGUUUGGCUGUUUCAUCAACAUAUUUUUUUUCUGUUAGUUUCCACACAACUUGCAAGGCAUAAAAAUUACGAAGCAAGUUUUAACCCCUCCUUCAACCUGCAUGAAUACAACUUCUUGGCUUCCAAUACACAUAUCUUCUAUAUCCUCAUUCACACUGCUAUUAAACUGUAAAAUUCAAUGUUUUUCAGAUACAGUAUGAACUCAAGAACAUAUAUUUUUGAGGAACAAGCAGCAAGCAUUAAACCAGCAGAUAUGCAAGCAUUAGUGCCUUGCGUAGUAUUCAGUUUUUUCAUCUCAGAAGUGUCAUAAAAUGCUCAGCCAUAUUUCCAGUCUAUAGUUUUCAAUUUCAGUCAUCUUCAUUGCAGUCGGUCCAUGAUAAUUCGGCGAGGAGUUGCGUGGUAGGCGGACAGAAUAGGAAGCUGAUGCUCCUGCUGCUUUUCUCUUCUACUCAUCGUACCUGCCUCGGCCACCAUUGGCUUUGCGGCAUUUGGUAGGGUUUCAGAAAUUGCGUAAGUUUUCAUCAUCAGCCAUUCUUUUAGUCUUACUUUUUUUGUCUUCUCGAGUAUUCACUGAACAUUGAGUGAAAGAUCCCAAACUUUCUGCUCAUUGGCUGACACGGCGACGCUAUUUGGCGUACUAUGCGAUCAGGCCAUGGUAGCGCAAGGAAGGAUGUAGACGAAGCUAGCGGGAGAUUUGCUUUUCCCUUGUUCGUUUUUUGACAUUCCGUUGCUAUAUGGGAGUAUUGUUCAGAUUUGUCCUUUUUUUAGAUAACAUCACCGUAACUUGUCAGUAUUAGUGCUAUUCAAGUCAUGAUCCAGUCUGGACAAAUUUAAAAUUUAUCUUUUGUGUUAGUUUUUUUUGCAGUUAUGUAAAAGUGCCCGUAUUUUCCUUUUGUUUAGAUAAUAUUUCAAAAUCUGACCAGGAGAAGUGCUAAGCUCGUCGUGGUUCAGAUUUGGCAUUUAUCUUCAGUUUUCUUGUAGUAGUAAUGUAGAUGUAACGAUUAACUCAGCAAGUCUCCCACACUAGUUUUCAUGUUCAGUGAUUUCAUCAAUUAUUAGAUUCUUUUUCAUUUACUCAGGUUUCACUUUUUGCUUGGUUCAUAGUGUGAUUUUUAUUGAGUUCUUAUCUGCCAAGUAGAACAACAAGGACAACGUCAAUGAUCUAUAGUCAUCUAUAAUGAUUUGUAUUUCUAUAGUCAGUGUUUGUCAUUUUUGUCAGGUUAAAGUGAAGAAAGCCGGAUGGUCAUGUGCCAAUGCUCUGUUUUAUCUAGCUAUGCUGUACCUUCCUAUAUACAACGAUUAAUAUCUCCAGGGGAGGGGAGGGGGAUGAGUACCUCACUUGGGGCGAAGACAGUACAAGGGGCUGCGAUCUGGAUCGCAAGCAACAUCACAUGCAGUUGCAUCCAUGUCUCUCCCGCCGCCGUCACGCCUCCACAUAUUUCUUUUUUUUGUUACACGUGUGGGUCCUCUACCUCAAGACUUCGUUGGGUUAUGUUUUUAUCCGUGAUCACCAUGGACGUUGUGUGCUGGCAUGCAAUGAACGUUUUGAAGGGGUAACAUCACCUGAACUUGCUGAAGCAGUGACCAUUUGGCAUGCCUUGACAUUUUCCAGAGAUAAUGGUCACAGGUUUGUGCUUCUUAAUUCUGAUUGUCUCUCUGUGACUUUCAACGCAUUCAUUCUGAUGCCCUGGUUCGAUCUUUGUUGGGCUUGGUGAUAGAUGAUAUAAAGUCUCUGGUGGCUGACCUUCAUAGCUGUAUCUUCAAGCAUUUUCAUCGUGAUUUGAAUGUAGCUGCACAUCUAUUAGCUCACAAUAGUGAACAUUCAGUUUGUAAUAUUUCUGUUGAUGUAAUCCCGGAUACACUUAACGUAGCUGAACAUCUAUUAGCUCACAAGUAAAGAAGGAUGUUAUGUGUAUGUGUGUAAAUUUUUAGGAUGAAAUAUCUUAAAAUACGAUCUGCAAUCUUUUUAAAAAAAAAUCAUGUCCUGGGAUGAUGAAUAGUAUGAUGUGUUAAAAAGUUCCAGAUUUCUCUUUUGUGUA
Long non-coding RNA from Hordeum vulgare subsp. vulgare (domesticated barley), 3872 nucleotides. RefSeq lists it as uncharacterized. The transcript has 4 exons. The record is from RefSeq and is a predicted model, not a curated record. Lineage: Eukaryota; Viridiplantae; Streptophyta; Magnoliopsida; Poales; Poaceae.